AAGCCGAUGAUGAGUAUUUGUUUUUGAAAAAGUUGGAAUUACCGGCUGAAUCAUCCGUUGAUGAGAGAUUGACUAUCUGAGGCUUCGC
Molecule: small nucleolar RNA, 88 nt
Organism: Rhododendron vialii
Lineage: Eukaryota; Viridiplantae; Streptophyta; Magnoliopsida; Ericales; Ericaceae
Source: RefSeq, a predicted model, not a curated record